This 254-nucleotide ribosomal RNA is filed under the name uncultured bacterium. RNAcentral's name for it is "partial 16S ribosomal RNA". It matches the Rfam family "Bacterial small subunit ribosomal RNA", at positions 522 to 776 of the family's 1533-position model. The record is from RNAcentral.
UACGGGGGGGGGGCAAGCGUUGUUCGGAAUUACUGGGCGUAAAGCGUGCGCAGGCGGCGCGUUAAGACAGGUGUGAAAGCCCCGAGCUUAACUUGGGAAUUGCGCUUGUGACUGGCGUGCUGGAGUGUGGCAGAGGGAGGUGGAAUUCCACGUGUAGCAGUGAAAUGCGUAGAGAUGUGGAGGAACACCGAUGGCGAAGGCAGCCUCCUGGGCCAGCACUGACGCUCAUGCACGAAAGCGUGGGGAGAAACAGG